This 460-nucleotide ribosomal RNA is filed under the name uncultured bacterium. RNAcentral's name for it is "partial 16S ribosomal RNA". It matches the Rfam family "Bacterial small subunit ribosomal RNA", at positions 338 to 795 of the family's 1533-position model. The record is from RNAcentral.
CCUACGGGAGGCAGCAGUGAGGAAUAUUGGUCAAUGGACGAGAGUCUGAACCAGCCAAGUAGCGUGAAGGAUGACUGCCCUAUGGGUUGUAAACUUCUUUUAUAUGGGAAUAAAACGUUCCACGUGUGGGAUUUUGUAUGUACUAUAUGAAUAAGGAUCGGCUAACUCCGUGCCAGCAGCCGCGGUAAUACGGAGGAUCCGAGCGUUAUCCGGAUUUAUUGGGUUUAAAGGGAGCGUAGGUGGAUUGUUAAGUCAGUUGUGAAAGUUUGCGGCUCAACCGGAAAAUUGCAGUUGAAACUGGCAGUCUUGAGUACAGUAGGGGUGGGCGGAAUUCGUGGUGUAGCGGUGAAAUGCUUAGAUAUCACGAAGAACUCCGAGUGCGAAGGCAGUUCACUGGACUGCAACUGACACUGAGGCUCGAAAGUGUGGGUAUCAAACAGGAUUAGAUACCCCAGUAGUC